AACGAACCCACACACGUUCCAACGUUGG
This 28-nucleotide small RNA is filed under the name Bombyx mori (domestic silkworm). RNAcentral's name for it is "ovarian small RNA-10378". Lineage: Eukaryota; Metazoa; Arthropoda; Insecta; Lepidoptera; Bombycidae. The record is from RNAcentral.